UGGUUCCUACGGGGGGCAGCAGUAAGGAAUAUUGGUCAAUGGCCGGAAGGCUGAACCAGCCAAGCCGCGUGAAGGACGAAGGUGCCAAGCAUUGUAAACUUCUUUUGUCAAGGGACAAAAUCAGGCUCGAGAGCCUGACCGAGGGUACUUGAAGAAAAAGCAUCGGCUAACUCCGUGCCAGCAGCCGCGGUAAUACGGAGAAUGCGAGAGUUAUCCGGAUUAAUUGGGGUUAAAGGGGGCGUAGGCGGACUGUUA
This 255-nucleotide ribosomal RNA is filed under the name uncultured bacterium. RNAcentral describes it as "partial 16S ribosomal RNA". It matches the Rfam family "Bacterial small subunit ribosomal RNA", at positions 333 to 585 of the family's 1533-position model. The record is from RNAcentral.